UCUUAUGUCUUAUGUCUUAUGCAACCAUAGGUUGUAUUUAGGAACUCGUCGCGGCGCAAACAAAAACAUUCUGUUUCGCCCACACGUGCGCGUGGCCACGGGAAACGUGUUUUUUAGUUGGGAAAAACAUGGCCGUCCUGAUUACAUGAUAACAACAGCAUAUAUUCAAAUAGUUUGUCAGAAUAACAGUAUUAUAAAAACUUCUACAAAACACGAUAAGAAUAUUUUUAAUCAUUGUAUAAGAUAAACAUACUACACGCUUCAUUGCAAAUAUACGCAUUAAGCAAUAAAACGUAACGAUCGUAUGAUACUUUAGAUGAGAAUCACGCUGAAGAACAAUACUAAUUUUUGAUAUUUCGUUUCUAUGAAAAUAUACACAGAACGAUAUAGUAUUUUGAAGAGUGAAGAUAGAUUUGGCAAUGAUACACGCAUGGCACCUGUCACUAUGUAGUAUGGUUGUGAAUCGAACGAGGAAAAACAUCGUCGUCAAUGUACGUAAACUUUUUAAAACAGUCUUCAACAAUUUUG
Molecule: long non-coding RNA, 528 nt
Organism: Bombus impatiens (common eastern bumble bee)
Lineage: Eukaryota; Metazoa; Arthropoda; Insecta; Hymenoptera; Apidae
Exons: 2
Source: RefSeq, a predicted model, not a curated record